RNAcentral lists this long non-coding RNA (234 nucleotides) under Homo sapiens (human). RNAcentral's name for it is "non-protein coding LINC01681:5". Lineage: Eukaryota; Metazoa; Chordata; Mammalia; Primates; Hominidae. The record is from RNAcentral.
CGGGAAUUAGAGAAAGCAGCAGGAAAAACGAAGGCCUUUUUAAGUUCCAUGAGAACUACGGUUUGCAAGACUGGUCAAAACAGUACAAUGCAAGCGGCAAGAAUCAGGAAGUGCACAGAAACAAGAAGCUCGGUGCACACUGGGAUCAGGCAAGCAUCUGGGAGAAGACUGUAGCAAGACUGGAUCCUGAGUGCCUGACAUGUGGCCAGAUCCCAGAAGAUGAGUUUAGCAAAG